RNAcentral lists this ribosomal RNA (440 nucleotides) under uncultured bacterium. Its description in RNAcentral is "partial 16S ribosomal RNA". It matches the Rfam family "Bacterial small subunit ribosomal RNA", at positions 338 to 795 of the family's 1533-position model. The record is from RNAcentral.
CCUACGGGUGACUACAGUGGGGAAUAUUGCACAAUGGGGGGCACCCUGAUGCAGCGACGCCGCGUGAGUGCAGAAGUAUUUCGGUAUGUAAAGCUCUAUCAGCAGGGAAGAAAAUGACGGUCCCUGUCUCAGACGCCCCGGCUAACUACGUGCCAGCAGCCGCGGUAAUACGUAGGGGGCAAGCGUUAUCCGGAUUUACUGGGUGUAAAGGGAGCGUAGACGGCUGUGCAAGUCUGGAGUGAAAGGCGGGGGCCCAACCCCCGUACUGCUCUUGAAACUGUAAAGCUGGAGUGCAGGAGAGGUAAGCGGAAUUCCUAGUGGAGCGGUGAAAUGCGUAGAUAUUAGGAGGAACACCAGUGGCGAAGGCGGCUUACUGGACUGCAACUGACGUGGAGGCUCGAAAGCGUGGGGAGCAAACAGGAUUAGAUACCCCAGUAGUC